RNAcentral lists this long non-coding RNA (566 nucleotides) under Manihot esculenta (cassava). RNAcentral's name for it is "long non-coding RNA (MESC_LNC002395)". Lineage: Eukaryota; Viridiplantae; Streptophyta; Magnoliopsida; Malpighiales; Euphorbiaceae. The record is from RNAcentral.
UUAUUGGAGAGGAUCAAAGUGAAGCUGGUAAUGAUGAUGCCAGGGGCCUGCCUGGUCCUGCAGCUCCUCCUCCUCGACCUGGUGUCCCCUCAGUUCGUCCCCUACCUCCACCACCAGGGCUAGCAUUGAAUCUUCCUCGGAUGCCUCCAAAUACCAUUCAAUACUCGGCCCCAACUAGUGGUGCAUUUCCUGUGCCUCCACCAAGGCCACCAGGUAUGCCAAUGGUUCCAUCAAUUCGUCCAAUGCAGGCUCCAAUGCCAGUGGCACCUGGACAGCAGCCCAUUAUGAUGAAUCGACAGCUUACAAUGCCUCCAUCUAUAUCUGGAAAUCCACCAAGUAUGCCAGUUCCUCCUCCACCUGGAUCCCAGUUUACGCCAAUUCCUCGACCUUUUGCUCCUCUUCCUGUCCCUCCAACAGCAAUUGGUAUGAUGCCACCACCACCACCCUUGCCUCAAGGAAUGCCUCCACCACCUCCACCUGACGAUGCUCCUCCACCACUUCCAGACGAACCAGAGCCUAAGAGACAGAAGCUUGAUUCUAUGCUUAUUCCAGAAGAUCAAUUCCUG